RNAcentral lists this microRNA precursor (76 nucleotides) under Myotis lucifugus (little brown bat). Its description in RNAcentral is "mir-9229 microRNA precursor family". It matches the Rfam family "mir-9229 microRNA precursor family". Lineage: Eukaryota; Metazoa; Chordata; Mammalia; Chiroptera; Vespertilionidae. The record is from Rfam by way of RNAcentral.
GAGACACCCUUAUGUGGUAGGACUUGCUUCAGUGGGGCUUUGGUACUCACUGAGUCUGCUUCUUGAGUGUGUCCCU